This is a long non-coding RNA of Equus caballus (horse), 28938 nucleotides long. NCBI's taxonomy places the organism in Eukaryota, Metazoa, Chordata, Mammalia, Perissodactyla, Equidae. The record is from Ensembl.
CCUGGCCCCGGAGCGGUUUAGCCGCUGCCUUGUGUCGCGGCCGCGUGCCGGGCGAUGGCCGCCCAGACCCCCGGGCCCCCGAUCGCCAACCCCGGGGCUUCCCACCCGCGCCUCGGUGGAGGGAGGCCCCGGAGGCGCCAUCGCUCGCGCCUGCCACCUGGACGCUGAAUAAACUGGGAAACAAUUAGGUGGCCGGGUGGGGAAGGUGCUGGGUGACUGCACUGCCAGGCGGCCGCGUGCCCCCGCGCUCGCAGGGGUUGGCGAUUGGGGGCGGUUGGGAGUUUGUGUUUAGGGAGGAAGGUGAGAGGUGCGGGAUCUGCCCACGAGGGCAGUCGCUCUCGGAGAAUCGGGGAAUGGCUCUGUCAGGUCGCAGGCCCUCCUCCGCCUUUAUCCCCAUCACGCACAAAAAGAAUGGGCCUUGCAAGGGAUGUUUAUUAUGCACUUUUAAGUGACUAUUCAGAAAAGAGCAGGAGGCACAAUAAAAAAGGCUUCUGCCCCACCAAUUCCCUUCCCUUGAAGAAAAAAAGAAAGAGAAAGCCACCCACAAAGGUAAGCUGGGCGUUUCAGAUUUUGUGGGGUUUGUUUUAUUUAUUUAUUUUUAAAGAAUCAAAAUAACAUUUUCCAGUUUGCGACUUACAUUUUCCAGUGCGUUUUUCUCAGGGCCAACCCAAGGGGCUAAUAAAAUCUGAGAGCUGUUAGUCCCAAAUACAUUUUGUGCGGGAGUUUGUGAAAGCAACUUUUGCCGAGUGCAAACGUCAGACGAUGAAACUGAAAAUACUUCCAAAGUCACAGGCUCCUCUUCCAAUCACAGCGCCUCACAUUUCCAGCGCUCCGGGAUAAAGUUGUCUGAGGAAAAUAAAAGUGUUGAUAAACCAUGGUUCCAGAUUGUUACUUAUUUUACAACCCUCGGUUUGCAAUCGAUCAUAGCUUGGGCCUAACAGGACUGACUCCGGCUUUUCAUUUGUUUAUAGUGUGUGCAAUGUUUUAUGCCUCAAAUGUACCAUGUCAGCUAUGUAAAAUAAUGCAGUAUUUUUGUUCGCAUCCUGGAUCCACUUGCACAAUGGUUUUUGUUUAAAAUGAAGGCGGUGAUUAUUUUCCAUUAUUACAGAAUGGAAACUUCAAUCCUAAACAUCUGAGAAACAUAGCUGAAGAAUCCACUGCUGAGCUGGGAAAAGCCGAGAGAAGCUCGUGUUUACUUGAUUCACAAAGUGCAAUUGACUCUAUUUAACUUGACCAAUUUAAAUCCAAUCUAAUAAACCACAAGCUUGCUUCCGCUUCAAAAAAGCCAACAGGCCACCCUGAGGCCCAAAGUCCAUCUUUCUCAGUGCCAUGAUGUCAAAUAAACCUGUGAUGCCCUUGUUUUUGCUAAGCGAAUGGCUCAUAUGUUGCAGUUAAUUUUUCUGGUGCAACAAUCACAUUGUAAUUUUCCAUGACUCUUCUCUAUAAGUACAAAGAAACCCUGGAAUCAUGGAAUUUUGAGCCAGAGGGAACCUCUUCACUUUACAUGGGAAGAAAUGGAGAGAGAGAGAGAGAGAGAGAAGUGAAGUGCCUGCCCGCUCUCACACGGGCUCUACCACCUGCCUCCAGGUCUCCCUGCUCCCUAACAGGUGGUUUCUCCCCGCCUCAGCCUCUUGAAGAGAUGGAAGGAAGGAAACUGGGAAAGGACUCAAGAGCAACACUUCAGGAAGCACAGGGAAACCAAGGGAAUGCAGUAACAGAAUUAACAGGAUGUGGGAAAGGUUCGAGUGAUAAAUCCAGGUGGUUAAAUGAGUUUCAAAGCAUCAGGAGCCAGGUCAUAAUAGAGAAACCAUGGGAAGGGCAGAGGCUGUGUAAAAAAUAAUCUGGGAAAAUAAGGACUGUGGAGAGAAAGCAAGUGCUUUUUAAGAUGUGUCAAACAUAGGGUCAAAGUUAGAUCAAGAGGAGAAAAGGAAAAGUCUGGGGGAAUGUCUGUAGACAGGCAGAAAGAGAGUGAGUGAACUGAUGUCCUAAAGAUUCCUUCUGUACGGCGCUGCUGAGGAAGAGAGCGUGACGAACGGCCUCACGAGAAUGAGCUAGUGCAGGGCUGAGAGACACAGGAAUGGCCGCAGUCAUGGUGAAUUGUGGGCAGUGGUGAGAGUUUCGUCCCAGGAGCAUGAUGAGAAUGCCAGCGCCUGACCCACAUCAAGGCUGCUUCAUCUGCGGCGAGAUGGAGAGUGUCCUAAACCAGUCAGCCCUCAGAUGAAGAAGCGUGCUGUCCAAUGUCACCCAGCAGCUGGGUGCCGGGCAGAGGAAAUUCAGGCUUUCUCUUCUGCAUCUGCGCAUGCCCACGGUCACGCCCCUUUCCUGGUUCGGAUUUGGAAUUGUUCAGUUAGGAAGGGCUCUGAAGAGAUGCCUUUCGAUUUCCUUGGGGUUAGCUGGUUCAAAUCUCCCUCAUGUAUAAACUAAGAAUGUGUUCUACAGUGUUCCUCAGCUUAUUAGUUUUCCUGGAAGAAAUGGAUGAUUCUCAUUGUCACUUGAAAACAUCCACAUUUUGGAAAUGCCUGGGCUAGCGAAGUGUAAUAAUAAAAUUCAUUUCAAUUGGUCAGUCUCGAAGGUUAAUUGAGCAGUUAUACUUUAUUCUAAUUAUUUCUGGCUAACAUUGAAGUGAUGGCAAAGUAGUAAGGAUUUUUGGCCAACUCCUUGGGUUUUUUCCUCUCUGUCAUUUUUUUUUUAAUGACUGCCCAGUGUGGGCAAGGACCUACUACUCAAAGCAGAUGACCUUGGCAGCAGUGUUUCUGAAAUCCUGGGUUCUGGAAUACUUUAAGGCUCUUCGUCACCUUUAAGAGCUGUCCUUAUGAGGCCAGGAAUCUAGCUGAGUUUGGUGUGGGUAGACAAUGGGAUGCUCUGGUUGCCUGGAAACCCUGGUGAACCGAUGGUGACCACAUCCGUUAUAAACCGGGGCCUGAUUCUUAGCAACUUCAAAGGUUUCUGGAGCAGCGCUAGCUGCCAGCUCUUCUUACAUAGAGCAACAGGCAGAAAUCGUUGGUAAUCUGGCAAAUGACAAACUUCAUACCCUAGGAUGUUUACUCUCUCUCUGUAUACUGAAUUUGCACACAAUCUAGAGUUAUUAUUUCCUCACAAAUAAUUUCUAUCUAAUGAAUAAUGAUGUCUUUGUUGUGAGCCGAUAGUCCAAGUAGCAAGUUUCCCCUAGUCAGAAUUAUCUACAACUAUUAUGUGUUUUCGCACUCAAACUUUUCUUACAGAAACAAAAACUUUUAUUAAAAUAGUUAGAAAUUAUUUUAAAAUUAGCAUAUAAAAUAAAGAAUGCAAUAUUCAAGCAGGAUACCCAUAAGCCAUUUCAAGCAUAAUUUAUGGUUACAUAGACAAUUUAAACAAUUAGGGAUUUUCCCCCACUGACUAUUAAUUCUUUUUAACGAUGGUUUUUCUCUCUCUGUUCCUCCCAAGCUAAAAAGCACAAGUUAUUUAUCUUUCCUGGUUUGUUCACUAUUUUCCAGGAUUUAUUUACAACCCCCUAAAAACGAGUGUUGAAACUCUUGCAUCUGCCCUAUUUCUGUUUACUCUACCCUUAUCUCCAGCUGGAAAACCAUAAGGAAAAGGAAUUUAAAGAAAAUUCUAAAUUCAUUACUCCCACUCUCUUCCUAUCUCACCAUAUUUGACUCAUCAAUAUGUGCUGAGCACUCACCAUGAGACAGACAUUGAGAAACAGGUGAACAAGUGUGGUCCCAGCCCUCCAGGAGCUUACAACCACCUGCGGACGGGGUACCUACAUGUACCCAGGAAAUGAUUAUGUAACGGAGUAAGUGCUAUAAGCACUUAGCCCAGCCUCAAAACUUUGGCGUAUUUUCAUAAGAAGAUGAAAAAAAUGAGGAAAAUUGUAUGAUAGCUUAUUUCAUGUUAACUUCAUGAUGGUCUUUUUCUAGCCAUAGACAUCAUCUUAAAAUCCCUCCUCUCCAACAGGUACUAGAAAUAUUCACUUAUUUACAGUUCUAGUAAGCUGUUAGCAACCACAGAUUUAAUUCUAAAUUAUCCCAUAGAAUGUACCUUUUCACAGAGCUUGAGUUUUAAAAGAAAUCCCAGACAUACUUGGUUCAGCAUUGACCUGUGUGACAUUGACUUGUUAGAGUGCCAUAUAUAUGAGAUCUAUUUUAAAUAUGUGUAUAUGUACAUCUAAUAUAUACAUGUUUCACUCUGGAUAUUAAAUUACAAGUUUGGUAGUGACUUGAGGUGCCAUUAAGAAAUUGGUCUAAGAGACCAAAUAUAAAAGUUGUCAGGCAAUUAGGAAUUGGUGAAAGUUCUUGGACUUGACAAAUGGUAUUAUAAACAAAUAUUGCUGUAGCUUGAGAAGGAUGGACCAACAAAUGUAUGACCACUAGCCAGAAGAAACCAUGGCUGGAGUGUGUCCUGACUUCAGGGGAUGUAAAGAGAAUGUUGGAGUGACUGCAAAGUAGAAUAUAGGAAUCUGCAUCCUCGGAGACUGUACUCUGACAAACCCGUUAUAUCAGAUGCUAUUGCUUUCACCUGUUUGUAGCAGGCCCCUACUCUACUGGCAUCACUAGGUAGGAAUUUGUUUUUCACUUGGCAGGAGGCAGGCCAGGGCUAGUUCAGAGGCCCUACAAUUCCAGGAGAAAUUCCGUUUCCUCUCUCUUCCUCUCUAUCAUCCUUAGCAUCUACUUUUUCCCCUUAUGGUGACAAGAUGACCCCUUUACCUCCAGGCAUCGUGUCUGUAUUCCAUGUAGAAAAGAAGAAGGGCAAAAGGUAUGUACCAGCUGAGUUCAUCCCUUUUUAUAGGAAAACAAUAGCUUGCUAAGGCCUCACCAAGUAGAGUCUACUUCUGUACCACUGGAUAGAACUAGGUCACAUGGCCUGAGCGUUAAAGAAUCUGGGGAGGUGAGAAAUGCUAACAGGGCACAUAGCCCAGGCCCAAACAAAUCCAAGGUAUCUUGUUAAGGCAAAAAGGAGAAAUGGACAUUGGGUAUAGAACCAGUGCUGAUUCCGUCAGUGUUUCCAAUUUUAAAAGAUGUCACCUCACACACUAAUGCAUUCAACUACCCUGUGUUUAUAUACAAUGUAGUACUGUUGUAAAAUAAACAUAUCAAAUCAUUUUUGUAUCUCAGUACUCUUUCCUUCAGUAAAGAGGUAGCAUUUUUGUAAAUGUAUCCAGUAACUUGACCAAUUUUAGAGGCUGUCAAGAAACCCAAUAUUACUUUAUAGUAAUAAAGAUAUAUACUCUACUUCAUUCUGGAUCUUAAUCUCACACUAUGCUAUAUUUUUAAAGGGUUUUGUGUCCUUACUGCUGGAAGUUUAUUUGCUGGCUUAUAAUAAAUGUAUGGCUAACAUUCAGUAAUGCUUUAAUACACAAGACCGGUGUGAAGGUAUUUGAGCAACCCCGGGAAUUGUGGUGAUCUGGGUGGUGAAAGAAGAGGAAGCGUUGGAUGGGCAAUAUAUUUCAAUGAUUAUAUAUGCCUAUCAUUAAAAAGCAUUUAUUAAGCACCUAUAUGCACGUAUCACUGUUGUCAAAGAGAUGUUUUACUCCAAUCAACUCUGGAUUUUAUUAAUCCUUUUACCUAUUUUUUAUAAACUGUUUUUCCACUCAGCAAUAUCUCAACCAGAGUAGACAGAGAGGGGCAGAUAAAGCUCAAACCAGUCAACCUAAUCGUGUUAUUAGCUAUAGUUAAAAGUUUGCUGAGGGAGGAGAUUGAAACUAUUUGUAAAAUGAGGUUUGUGUUUGUGGAUUUCAGUUAUCCCUGCUAUUCCUAGUACCUCUUUCCAUGGACAAUCAAGAGUUGGAUGAAUCUAAAACUAUUGUUUCGGAGCAAGAUUUGGUUGCUAUCUGUCAGAGAUCAUAAUUAGCAUCAAAAAGCAUUUAUUCCACCCUACUUUUUUAAAGGCAUUGUACUAGCUGGUAGCAGUGGGGACAUUUGGAAAAAGUAAUGUUAUAGCAGCCCUCUUACCACAUUGCACAUUUUCUUAGAAAAAGCAAGUAAUGAGUACAUAAGUGUAUAUAACCUUCAACAUGAUGGGAGGAAAGAAUACAAGUGUUUUUUUCCUCAAUAGUUAGAUUCGCAUUCUUAGGAGUCUGGCUGAAGGCAUCAGCCAACGUGUAUCAUCUCAUCCAGUUAUCCCAAAAGGGAAGUUUGAAUGUUCAAUUUACACAAACGUGUUGACUUAGGUUUUGCAAAUGAAGGACUUUUUUCUAAACAUCUCAUGCUAUGCUCCACGUUAGACUCUGCUCUCAGUCUUCCUUUGAUUGCAGCACAAAGAAACUUGACUCUGCCAAUUACUGUGUGACCUUAGGCAAGUCACUCACUUAACCUUUCUGGGCUUCCUUUCCUUCUUCUUAAAGUGGGGGCAGCAAAAUCUACUCUGCAGGGUUGUUAAUGGGGGAAAAAAGGUGACUUUGAAUGUAAAAUCACUUUGUAAAAUGUGACGUGCUAUACUAAUAUAUUAUUGUUUCAUUAAUCCAAACAUCCUAUUGAGGAGUUUUUAUCUGAUGCUGAGCAUCUGAAUGACUUUGAGCUUGGAAUAACUUUGAUGAAGUACCACACGGUCUCAAAGACCAGCCAUCGUUGGCCAGCUAAUUGGAAAAUCUCUGGUUUUGAAGUGAGUUCCAAGGUGGUAUAUAAUGCACUUCUGCUUCAGCCAUCCUAUUUAGGAUAAGCUACUUCGGAAAUAGUCACAAAUCAUUUUCCAGGUUUGCUAUAGUAAAUGGGUACUCAGCCUUCAGAAAGAACAGAAAGGUAGGUAGCCAUUGUCAUCAUUCAUUCAUUUAGUGUAGAGUGUUAUUAAUACCUAUGAAAUGUAUCAGAAGAAACCUUUACAUUUUUAUAUGCAUUUGCCCUUUUAAGGAAUGAAGUAACUAAAAUUAAGAUGACAUUGCUGAAAUGGGUGUGUCAGUCUUCACAAAUUGCUACCACCCAAAAUCUGGUUAUCGUUUUUCCUUUAUUUAUUUAAUUUUUAUUUUGUUUUAUUGAGGUAACAUUGGUUUAUAACAUUAUAUAAAUUUCAAGUGUACAUGAUUAUAUUUUGACUUCUGUAUAGACUACAUCAUGUUCACCACCAAAAGUCUAGUUGCCAUCCAUCACCAUACAUAUGUGCCCUUUACCCCUUUCGCCCUCCCCCUGCCCCCUUCCUCUCUGGUAACCACCAAUUUGUUCUCUCUAUCUAUGUGUUUGUUGGUUUGUUGGUUUAUCUUCUACAAUGUAUGAAAUCAUAUGGUAAUAGUCUCUCUCCCUCUGACUUAUUUCACUUAGCAUAAUACCCUCAAAGUCAUCCCUGUUGUCGCAAAUGGCAGUAUUUUUUUCUUUUUUACCACAUUUUCCUUAUCCAUUCAUCAGUUGAGGGGCAUUAAGUUUGCUUCCAUAUCUUGGCUAUUGUGAUUAAUACUGCAGUGAACACAGGGGUGUAUGUAUCUUUUCAAAUUAGUGUCUUCUCCUUUAUAACCUAAGUUUCAGCUUUGCUCUACUCAAAGGACUCCCAAUGAUGAAAAUAUCAUGUAAUUCUAGCCUAAUAUUUUGCAUUAAAUCAUCCAUGUGCUUUCAACUCUUUGGUUGUUGAUAUCACUAUAAAUCUUCUCUUGGGUACCCAGUUUUUAUAUCAAGCAUUUAUAAACUUCAUAAACAUUUGGUGGAAGAUGUUUUUUAUUAUUAUUUCUUUCUAAAUUUCUGCUCAAUUCUUCUGGUGAUUUGUAGCAGUAGGUGCAUGCUAAAUAACAUCAGGUAUUCCACCAAAGUAUUUUUUAAUGCACGCUUCCAAAAAUUUGUGGGUAAUUUCUAAAAUAGGUUCUGAGCAGAGGGUCUUAGAGAGGAAAAAGGAUCAUUAGUAUCCCUCCUCGGCUAAUUUAGCCAAGUACAUUCCACAACUCUCCCAAUCAGUAUAUUAAGCAGAUGUGGUCUUUGUCCACCUAGUAAGUUGCGUUAGACCUUUCAACACUCUGCAGCCUUUUUAUCACUCAGCUGCCAAGUUCCCUAGGGUAAUCAUAGACAGCUUGUCAAUUUAAUUGCAAAGAAACAGGCUUUCUUGUGACCAUUCCAAUUUUAGCUGCUACUUUAAAUUGUACAUGAUAGUUCUUCCAUGCUGUCUGCCCUUUAAACAGUGUGGAUCUCUGCAAGCCUCUUAAUGGUGAUGGAAAAAGGAGGCAACGCUGAAAAUCUGGCUUGCUGAUAGAGACUGUAACAUGCAUUUUAUUAAGUUGCUGCUUUAGGAGGGGAAGCUUUUCCUUAAGCCCAGUAUGCUGCCAUUACAUCACCUAAAUUAUUUUUUUUCUUUUCAAUCUUCCGCUUUCAUGCACAUUUUCCUCCUUUCUGGGUGAUAGAGGAUUCAUAGGCCAUCUGGAUUCUGAAACAUCUGGACACUGAAUUUCUGCAGAGGAGAAUCAGAGGGAAGAGACGAUCAGUGGUACUGGGUGUCUCUGGAGAGAUUUAAAUCAACGAGGAUAUUUUGGUUGUCUCCCUUUUGGAAAGUUAACACAAAAAGUGAAAGGAAAAAACAGCACCUCAUAGGAACCCAGUGUUUCAAGAAUGCUAAGAGUAUAAAAGACAGUCGGACUUUUAGAUAUAAAUUUAGGUCACUAACUGAAUACGUCUUUAUAUUAGAUAUCAUUUCUAGAAUUUUCCCCUAUUUUUUCAUUGUCAUGCAUUUUUGGAUUUAAUUUAGUUAGAUAUACUUUUAACAGUGCUGAAUUUAGAUACUGCAUCAUUUUUGCAUAACAUAUUUUACCUUAAGCUAUGUAUAAUUCAAUUCAAUAAAAUUUUAUUAAUCAAGUGUUAUAAGUAAAGUCAUAAAACUAACAUAUCAAAAAUGUUCAUGUGUUCAGCUUGAUCGAAAGACUAGAUAUGGGCACCACUUAGGUAAAUCAAGAAGAGUUACUUUUCUAAGAUAUGCAGAAGAAUAUUAGUACAAAGAGAUAAAUAAUGUUUCCCAGGUCAGGUGGAGUUGUAAGCUUGUGAAUCCAAAAAUCAAGAACCAAAAUGAUAACAUAUGUGUGUGAGAAGGUCUUGUUAGACCUUUGGAAAGUCCAGCUGCCCUCCUACAAGCUCAGCUUUAUGUGUAUAUGCAUGUGUGUGUGUGUAUGUGUGUAAGUGUGUGUGUGUGUAAGGAUUUGCACAGAGACAGAGGCUGCCCUGGAAUGUGCAGGGGACCACCUCCUCUGGACCAUGAAUCUCGGUGAUGUACCAUAUAUAAUCUGACUACUCAGUUCAGUACAGUCUAGUCAGGCGUGAGCACAGGGCUUAUUUAUCACUCUCAGCUGUUCCCCGCUAACACAGCCUGGUCCACCAUCUUGACUGAACUUGAGCUGCAGAACCAGAACAAGGAUGAGUCACCCAGAUUGCUCAGCAAAUCACCGCAGCAGGCCCUUAGACCAGUCUUAAAGCUCCUCCUUUGUGUAAAGGCACUAGACUUAGCUGUCAGGCGAGUGUGAAGAGCUGUUCAGAUUCUAUGAUUUAUUUCCCAUGCUAUUGCAAAAUUUUAUUUUUUCUUUCACUAUAUUUUCUCUGGUAAAUAUUUGGGCUGUUAAUAGAUUUUCUUUCCUGAAAAAAUUGAAAUUGCUACUCUUUAAGUACUCUUUAAGAGUACUCUUUAAGAGAUAUGAGUUUGAAGCAACCAGUCUUAUGCGCCUUCACGCAGUUUUCUUGAAGUACGUGAUGCUCUGCCGUAUAUAAAAACAGUUAAGACUGUCAGUUUCUUGAUUUCUAGGAAACCAGAACUGCUCAAAAGAAAAAGAAUCCAACAGUAAAAUUUUAGUAACUACUUUUUUUUAAAAUCAGGCAUACCUACAUUUAAAAAUAAUAACUCUCUGAAAUAAGGGACUACAGACAUAUUCUCUGAUUUCUGCCAGUUCAUUGUGUCCUUAAUUUCCUCUAACUGCGUCUUCAGCGAGCCCCACAAUGAAGUACAAUAUUAGAUGUUCACUUGUAUGAUAUCAACCUUGUAUGAAGAGAAUGAAUAAAAAAUGAAGUUCUUAGCUGUGAUCUAUUUCAGAUUAGCCAUUUUCAUUUAUAAAACUGUUUAUUUUACUUUGUCAGCUUGAAGGUCAAUCUAACUUCAAAUUGCAUAUUGCAGAAUUUCAACAAAGAUAUGAGGCCCAUCGCUGCUCCCUUUAAGACUAAAGGUGAAAAGCUGAGUCUUAACCGGGAUAUUGGGUAGAGCUUUAUGAAAUGGACCAGAUCACAUUGAUAUAAGACUUGCAAAGACACUUCACUUUGAAGUCAAAACAUCAGCGCCUGGACAGGGUGGCAGGUGGCAUCAGUAUUAGCAAGUAUUAAUUGUGGGCAUUAACCCAGGACAAGAAAACACUUGUCACACACUAAGGAAAGAAUGAACAAUAGCCAUCAUAUCAGCUACCGUUUAUUGAACACUUACUGUAUAUCAGGCAUCAUUCUAUGCAUUUUAGAUUAUCUCAUGAUGUCUCCACAAUAACUCUUUGAAGUAGGUACUAUUGCUAUCACAUUUUACAGAUGAAAAAGCUGAGGGACAAGGAAGUUAAGACUCUUGGCCAAGAUCACACAGCAAGUACAUGAGGGAGCAAGGUUUCAAACCCAGGCAGAAAGACUCCAAAACUCAUAUUCUAAAUGACAAGGUAUGUGAAUAUGCAAUGUAGAGGACACUACAAAGACUAUAACUCAAUGUGCUCAGAUAUUGACCUGUAAUUAAAAAAAAAACCUAGCACCUCCUACAGACUCCGAUAGCACUCUUAGAUCAUCACAUCUUCCAAUAAUUACAUAUUUCACACACCCCGACUUGGUGGUAAACUUCACGUGGACAGAGACCAUGUCUGUUUUGUUCACGACUGUAAUGUUGGUGCCUAGCACAUUACCUGUCACAUUGUAGCCAUUUAAUCAAUAUUUAUUGACUAAAUAUUCAAUAAAUAGAUUUCUUGAAUAUUUACUGAAAUGUGAUUUCUUGUGAGGCACUGUCCAUUCCUCAGGAUGGUUUUAAAUAAGGCCACAGAGUUUAGCAAAAAGAAUGUUGCAUUUGGACAUAAAACUUAAGUUCUAUCCUAACACUGCAACAUCUCAGUUCUGAACAACAACAUCCUUGGACAAGCCACUAAACCUCUGGAGUCUCGAUUUUAUCAUCUGAUCAGCAAAUACAAUAAAGAUAUGUUUCCUAAGAAAGUUUUGGGUGCUACGCAAAUCCUCAUUAUUAUAACUAUGGGUUCUUCUAUUUGAUGACGAAAUAUCUAAAAAGGUAGAUCCAAAUAAGGAAACCAAAUCCUUUUCAUGGAAUCCAGAGACAGGAACACAGACCAGGAAGACACAAAUGCUAAAUGCUCAUUUCACUGAAAAGAGCUUAUGUCCUCAAACUUGCCUGAAUAGGCCUGGUUGCUUUUCUUGUUACAUAUCCCAUCUUAGUACUUGUACUGAAGGAAACAGCAGUGCAGGUAUGCCUCUGAGAUUAAAGCAUUUCUCAACUGAUUCAGGUCAGCAAGCCUUCUACCCUUUAAGAUAGGCUGACUAUUUAAACAUUUUAAAAUGCACCCCAAAUUCUUUGUCCAGAGUUUAACCCCCAAAGGCGUCUUCAAGCUUUUACUCAAGUCGACCUUCUCAACAUUUCAGCCAUGUUUCCUGAAGACACUCCCUCCUUUAGGGUGGCUUAUUUGAGAAGCAGUCUUUUGUCUCCAGUAAGGAAAAUAGUUUUGCUUUUUGGUUAUAUAUUUUCUUUUUCUGAAAGGACCAAGCUCAGAAACUACUGUGAGAUAAAAUCAUAGAUGUACUAUUUCAUACGGAGGGAGCCCAGAUUUAUUUUUUCUUUGAUGGGAAUUUUAGCAAUGCCCCCAAAAUAUAUAGCUUUCCUAAAUCAGUCAGUUACAAAAACGAAGUAUGUCUGUAUUUGGCAAGUGAAUUUAAAAAUGGAUUCUCAUAUUGUAAUAAUUCCUUUUAUAAGUGGAGUUGCUUAUUAUAAAAUUUUACCAUUUUGACAUUAUCUUACACCAAUUAGAAGUCCAUUCAACCUCAGCUGAAACCCACAACUUUUAAAAUACUCUUUAAAACCAAUUUCCAUUGUAACAAAAACGAUGAAUAAUUUUUUGUUAUUAAGUAUAAUAAUAGCUGACAUAUAUUUUAUGAUCAAAAACAUUGCUAAUAUAAAAACGGAUUUUAAAAUUGCAAAUAAACCUUUAAAAAGUGACUUAUCCAGGGGUUCUAAACUUGUGGUCCAUAAAUAGAAUUAAGAAAGUCUUUGAAUAUGCAUAAAAACAAAAAUUAUACUUUUAUUUUCAUAACGUCUAAUUAAAAUCUUGCAUUUCCUUCCAUUAUGAAUGUCAGGAACCAAUCACAAUAGUAUUAGCAGUUACCUGUGAUUUUGUCAUUAACAAAAAUCACAAACAUUUUCAAAUUAUAUUCAGUUACUGCAAAUAUUUCAAAAUAUCUUUUUUACCCAUCACUCCAUCCAAAUUGUGGUAGUUCUUAGACAAACUACUAGAGCAUAUUGUUUAAUGUGUUAAUAAAGAAACUCACAUUUCUUGAUCACAAUGUUUCAAAAUUUUGCUAACUGCCCUUCCAUACAAUUGGUUUCCUUUGAAACCCUAUGUAAUUUACCUUAUGCAUUUAAAAACCUUACACUCACACCCUAAUCCUUGGAACCUGUGAAUGUUACCUUAAAUGGCAAAAGGUCUUUACAGAUGUGAUUAAGUUAAUGAUCUUGAGGUGGACAGAUUAUCCUGGAUUAUCCCAGUGGGUGCUAAAUGUUAUUACAAGUGUCCCUGUGUGAGGGAGGUAGAGGGAGAUUUGACGACAGAAGAGAAGACGCCCACAUGACAACAGAAGCACAGAUUGGAGAGGUGACCUUGAAGAUGGAGGAAGUGGCCACAGAAAAUGAAACAGGCAAGAAAUAGAUAGUCCUUUGGAGUCUGCAGAGAGUGGAUGGCCUGCCAAUACCUAGUUUUGGCCCAGGGCAACCAAUUUUGGACUUCUUGAUCCCAGAACUGUAAGAUCAUAAAUUUGUGUUGGUUUAAGCCACAAAAUAAAUAAAUACAUAAAUAAAAAUAAUAAAUAAAAACUUUAUUCUGAGAGGGAGUCCACAGGCUUUACCAAACUAUGAAAGGGGUCCUUGACACCAAAAAGCAUUAUGAAUAUCUAUCUAAAAACCAUAUUAAACAGUUUAGAGUAUGCUAUGGACUGAAUUGUGUCCCCUCAAAAUUCGUAUGCAGAAACCCUACCCCCCAAUGUGACUAUAUUUGGAGAUGGGGCCUUUAUGGAAGUAUUUAAGGCUAAACGAUGCCAUAAGGGUGGAGCUCCGACCCAAUCGUGUUAGUGUCCUUAUAAGAAGAGACACCAGAGCUGGCCCACUCUCUCUCCUAGUGAGGACACAGCAAGAUGGCGGCCAUCUGCAAACCGGGAAGAGAGCUCUCACCAGAACCUGACCAUGCUGGCCUAAUUUUGGACUUUUAGCCCCCAGAACUGUGAGAAAAUAAAUUUCUGUUGUUGAAGCCCCCUGAUCUGUGAUAUUUCGUUGUAGUAGCCCAGGCUGACUGAUACAGAGCAAUUCUAGCUUUUUCCUUUUCAAAGGCUUUCUUGCUACUUCCUUUAGUGGCAAAUCUGGAUACUAUCUGGGACUUUGCUGUACUCCUUUGUCAGGAUUCAAGACCUAGACCCACUUUUAAGCCCAAAGUCCUGUGAGUUGUUACUUAAAUAAACAUCAUAAAAAGGAAACAACGUAUUAGACAAUAAUAAACAACAUUUAAAUACAGUUGUCAUUUGUUUCAGAAGUAGGUGGCAGUUGCUGCUGCUGCUAUCAGAUUCUAUUUCCAUGAGCAACAUUGUUUUCACAAGUCCUCUGUGAUCAACUCCCUCUGAGACACUCAGCGGCUCCUGGUACACACAGUGACUUUGCAGGCCCUGCCCCACAGGGAACACCACAAUUCACCCAAUUAGGCAACUAGGUGUCCUGAAUUUUUGUUAAGGACCAUAUUCCUACAUCAGCACUCAUAACCUCCUUCAAGAAACACACGGUACCAUUUCUGGUUAACCUUAAAACAAUCACAUUAAAAUAAAGAGGACUGUCAGUGGAGCAAUUUUAUAAAUAGCUAAAAUUAAACAGAGCAAGACUUGCAGUGCUAAUGCAUAAGCAAAGAACUGCCUGCCUGCAUUUCAUCGAGAAUUCCUGAUAGCAAACUGCAGUACGUUUAUUAUACAUUAAUUCAACACAGCACUCAAAAUGAAUUUAUGCCCUGGCUGAAGGGUGCAAUAUGGAAACUAAAUAUUAUUUAUUAUCUUAAUAUUAGUAACCAUACUAAAAAAAAUUGUGUUAACAAUUCAGAGUGUUUAAAAAACUAAGGAUACCACAACUCUCUUUACCAACCAACGGCUUCUGCCUUAAUUUAUGCAAGUGUAGCCUAUAGCUAAAAUCUUUGUAUAUUUGUUUCCCCAUGGUAUUAGUGCUCAAAAAUAGGACACUCUUUCAAGGGCACCUUAUAAACACAGAACUAUAAUUUAUUUGGCAAAUUAAAGCUCAUAUAAAAUGUGCACACAGAGGUACAGAUUAACAUAUUUAAUUUCAAUAUUACCUGCAAACCUAUUUUUUCCCAUACACUGUUCUAAUUAGUCAUAUAAAAUCGUGUCUGCGUAUUAUAAGCAAUUAUUUUAGUGGAAAUAGACACUGGAUCUGAAUUAAAUAUACUGUAAAAAAGAUAACGCUUUUAUGGAAAUUAAUAUAUCCAUUUGUAUCCAGAAAAAUGUGUUCUAGUUAAAUGGCAUGAGAAUGUUAAGCAUUCAAAACCUGAUUGCGGUAAAAGUUGAGAUUUUUAUGAUUUAAUAAUACAGAAUAAUAUGCAAUCUUGGUAAUACACCAGUAUUUAUAUUUUGAUGCUAUUUCCAAGUUUCCGAAUCCCCAGUAACCAUUAGAGUCACUUUAUGCAGGAGGAUUUUUCCUAUUAUGAAUAUUCACUCCCCCUACAGUUGAAUGUGCAAAUUGUUUGUGAACAUUCUAUUUAGCAAAUGAUUCUUUUCCUAUUAAGCCUAUACUGGGAAUGAUAGUGGGGUACGUAUCAAGCUUACAUUGCAUUAAAAUAGUUGCAAAUAGAUGCUGAUAAAAGAUUAUGCCUGUAAGUAAACGGAAGCUAUAACUUAAGUGGCAGGAUUAUUAGGCUUUCUAAAAGUUGUAAACUGACAUAAAGGCUUCGCCACUUAAGGAUUUUUGGAAAGAACAGAAUUAAAUUGAAGACACUUGACCCAGCACAGGGCAUGUGACGGGAUGAUCUAGUACCUCAGACUGGAAGCUUCUCAUUCUUAGGUCUCAGCUCAGAUGUCACCUCCUCAGAGAAAUCUUCCCAAACUCCUUAUCUCAGAAGGCUCCCCAGCCCCAGCCCAGUCUAGUACUUUCACCUCCCCACCUGAUGUGUUACUUUCACAGGACAAAUCAGAUUUGUUCAUUUCCUUGUUUAUUAUGUGUCUUCCCUACUAGAGUAAACUCUGUAAGGAUAGGGACCAAUCAAGCAUUUAGCACUGUUCCUGGCACAAACAAGGAGCUCAAUUACCAUUUUCUGAUUGAAUGAAGGAGCUAAUGUGAUAUUUCUUUAAGACAUUUCUCUAAGAUUAUUUAGGAUUUGGUUGUCAAGAAAUCUUAGAUUUAUUAAAAGGUUUUUAGGAUAUUCCCUUGGAUUCAGGAUUAGCUGUCCAUUCUAUUCACAAAAACAUGGGGCUAGAAAAAUCGCGUCCUUCCCCUCUUGUGUACCUUCCCAAGCAGACGAGAAUCUGCCUUGUAGAUUUAAAUGUAUGUUGUGUGAGGAGAGCCCACACAACUCCCUGAAUGACACGUCAUUGUUUUUGCGGCUACCCGUCAUGGCCCCAGGUAACUCUUCCUGCAAAAUACUGCAAACGUCCACAUAUCACUUCUUCUAACCCUCAUUUUCGCUAACUCUCAUCACUCCGGGCCUCCUGGAAUGGUUUCCUAGUUUGGGGCAAUUAGAAUCAUUAAGUCCAACCAGCAAAACCCACUAAGAUUCACCAUGGUUACUCGUUUAAACAUUGUCAACCUCUGGUCUGUCCAUCUUCUAAAGACUUUCAGAAAAGACAAGCCCACAAAACUCAUUGCAAUGUAUUAUAAUGUCAAAAAAGUGUUCCUCCUGCCUCUCCAAAAUCCUUGGUAGAGGCUUUCUUUUUGGAGUCUCAGGGUAGAUAAAAAACAGCUUGUCACCACUCAUUAACCAUGACCUGUUCUAACAUUGUAACAGAGGACCUGAUAUUGUAUAACAUUGGAUCUAACGUUAUAUAAGGGGACCAGCUCCUGGUCUUUUCCCUAUCACUCAUUAUUUUACAUGCCUGGUUCUGUUCUUCUUUCCAAUUUGAAAUGACUUUCACAACUCAAUCUGAGGGCCACACCACCAGGAACACCAUACCCGGUUUCUGUUAUUCCUCUCUAGCUUUUGUGGUUUUCAAUUUUUUUCUUUAAUAAAAUGAGUGUAAUGUUAAAUAUUAUUCACAAUCUUACCUUGUUUUGCUUUAAAUUGUAGCGUCAAAAGCCUGUUUUGCAACUUUGUCAUUCAUCCUGCUUUCUCCCAUGACUUCUACGUACAUUUUAAGCAGAAACUUCUGUUACACUGUUCUUGAAACACUUCAUUAUUAACUUCUUUCUAGCUAAAGGAUUUUAAUCCUUUGUUUCAUAGUCUUUUUCUUCUUAGCUUUUUUUUUUUUCUGGUGAGGAAGAUUGUCCCUAAGGUAACAUCUGUUGCCAAUCUCCCUCUUUUUCCUUCAGGAAGAUUGUCCUUGAGCUAACAUCUGUGCCAAUCUUCCUCUAUUUUUGUAUGCAGGAUGCUGCCACAGCAUGGCUUGACGAGCGGUAUGUACAUCUGUAUCUGGGAUCCAAACCCUCGAACCCUGGGCCACCAAAGCAGAGCAUGCAAACUUAACCACUGCGCCACCGGGUGUACUUUUCUUAGCAUUUUUGAAUGGCUUCCCAUUGCUCAUAAAUUCAAAAUCCUCACAUGGCCUGCAGCCCCUGGCUUAAUCUGGCCCUCCCUUCCUCUUCAACCUCAUUUCAUGUCACCCGCCCCCAGCUCCACACACAAAGUUCUUGCCACGCUCACCCGUGUUCUUUAGCAAGCACACCAGGUCCAGUCCGGCUCCGGGUCACCUGCUCGUGCCAUCAUUCCGCCCUGGCUCUCUUCACCCAACCUCUCCUCCCUUUUCCAGGCUAACUCCUUCCUACUCAUCCUUCAAGUCUCCUUGAAAGUGCCACUUUCUGCAGGAGGCUCACCCUGACCACCUCAUACCUCAGAGUCCCAGGAGAUUUUCUUUCACAGCACUUUCUCUUAUUUCUCUAAGUAUGUGUUUAACACUCGUGGCAUGAAGAGAGGCUGGGUCCUUGGUGCUCUCAUCUCUCUCCACCCUCACUGGUUUGGCAGUGCCACCCAUCUCAGGGCUUUAAAUAUCAUUAACAUACUGACAAUUCCCAAAUGCAUAUAUCCAUUCCAGAUUUCUCUCCUAAAUGCCAGAUUCAUAUGUCUAAUUUUCUGCUUGACAGUUGACCUAAAUAUACUUAUAGACAUAUCAGACAUCACACGUCCACCUCUGAAUUCCCACCUUCCCCCCAAAACCUGCUCUACCUGCAGCCUUUCCCCCAUUUCAGGUGACAGCACCUCCAUUCUUCCAGGUGCUCAGGCCAAAGAACCCUGGAGUCCUUCUUCACAUGUCUUUCUCUCUUACCCUCCUCCAAUCUUUCAGGGAAUCCUAUUAGGGAUUCCUUCAAAAUAUGCUCAAAUUUUGUCCAUUUCUCACCACACCCCACUCCUGGAUCACUGCCUGAGCCUCUUACAGGGCUUCCUGAUACGUUUGUCCUUCACACUGUAUCUCAACACAACAGCUAGGUGGAACUUUUAAAACCCAAGUGAGAUUGUAUCACUCAUCUGCUGAAAAUCCUUCAAUGGCUCCCCAUUUCCCUUGAAGGAAGAACCACAGACCUUACAAUGAUUUGCGUUGUCUGUCUGACUCUCUUCUUCACUCUGCUCCAACCACAGCAGCCACGCUCCUGCCUUAGGAUCUUCGUAUUGACAGGUCUCUUGUCUUAGAACGCCCUUCACUCAAAUAUCCCCAUGGAUAAUCCCUCACCUCUUUCAAAGCUUUUCUUUUUCUUUUCUAUAUCAAUUAGCACCUUCUACCUUCAUAUGUAAUCUACUCACUUUUUGCAACUAUUAUUUAUUGUCCAUACUCCUUACCAGAGUGUCAGCUCUAUGAGCUCAGGGACUUUAUUCACUGAUAUAUCCCAAGUAGCUGAAAUAUAGUGGGUUCUCAACUAUUUAUGAGAUGAAUGUAAAGGAGCCUCCUAUACAAACUUCAGUUUACAAGUGUUUACAAGGUUGUUUUAAGGAUAAAUGAAAAAAUAUGUGUGAAAGUGCUUUGUAGGCUAAAGUCCCCAUUGAUGAAGACCCCAAUCUUUAUUCCUUCCACAGAAAUCACCGUUGUUAUCAGCGGCGUAUUUUUUUCACUUAAUCUAUGUAUAUAUGAUCACAAAAAAUAUAUUAUUUAAUAUGAGCUUCUUUUCUUAAAAUAGUGAACAGCAUCAUAACAUUGAAAAGCGAAAACCCUUCACAAGACAAAGUUCUUUAUGAGCUCAAGAUAUGACAGGUGAACCAAUGCCUCACCAUAAAGUGCCAGGGGAGUGACAGAAAGAGUGACAGACAAAUUAAAGAGUAAGUUCUGUUUAGCAAUUUUGGGUGACAGCACUUAAAAUUUCUAGCUCUAGGAUUGUUUAGGAAUGACAGUAUGCAGCUGAGAAAGGCAGCCCACCCGUUAUGAAAAGAAAGUUGUGUGAGAACUUAGAAAAAGCCGUCCUCAAAAUGGGAAAAAAUUCCUUACAUAUGUUAUUUAAAGAGUAACCCAUUAACCUUUUACACACUCUUCAAAUUGUCUAUUGCCACAUUUCCCCAUUAGCUCCAUGUUUGAAUCAAGGUUUUCAGACAGAUUUUGUUUCACUACCCCAUAGAAAUGUCAUUAGAAAUUGAAUUUAGUGUACAUUCAUGGUUGCCGUAGUUGUUUAGUUGUCAUUUUUCCAGGCAAUGGACUGUGCUAUACAAACAUCAGCUUCCGCCCAGGGAAAGGCAUCAAGAUGAAGCCUCCCCUUGAUAAGGUGUUUUCUGCAUGUGAUAACAAAUGGCACCCAAACUUGCAUUGAUGUCACUGGGGACAGUAAUCACUUAUUGAGUGCCUAUUGUAUACUAGAAAUUUCGCUAAGUAUUUUGUGCUCAUCAUCUGUCUCUGACAUAUAUAACGGAUACUCAACAAAUGUGUGCUGGCAGGAAAGAGGAAGGAAGAAGAAAGGAGAGAGGAAAGGCGGGAAGGAAGAAAGUUUCCUUAUAGUUUAUAACUUUUACUGAACAUUUACUUUUUUGCAGAUCAUUUUCAGAACUUGAAAAACAAGUUGUUGUGCAGGUAGAAACGUUCUUUUUUUCCACUGGGAUUUAGUGAAGCAGGUCCCACAGCUGCCCAGAAACAUGCGCAAAUGGCCUUUGGAUUGUGCCUUGACAGCCUCUAGUGAGGAAUAACUCUGCUGCCAGCAACUAAGACUAACAGCUCCAAAGUAAAGAAGUAAACAACACUGAGUUUUCCUCGCUCCAAAGAAAGCCUGAGAGGACUCCGUUGCCAUCAGCUCCUGGCUUCCCCUUUGCUUUUUUCACUCUGAAGAUUUGCAGUCAGGAGGCACCUGCUCAGAACAGAGAUUACUCGCAUACGGGAUCAACAGAAGAGAGUGCAAAGGUCCAGGCCAGGAGCCAGCUGUCAUCUAAAGAGGGACUUCAGCUGCAAAGCCUGUCCAAACAUCCAUCACAAACAGGUUUUGGAAGUUUUUAUAUGGGUUUGAGCCAGGUUUUUACCUUAUCCAUAUCCCAAAAAGAUGAUCCAUCCCCGUGCCAGAAACUUUCAAAUAAUAAUAAAAAUUAUUUGAUUAUAAGAAAGAAAGGGAAAAGAAAAUGACCAGGCCUCAAACAGAGAAUGACUCAAACAGAGCCUGAGCAGUUGGGAGGAGUCUCCCCGUUGGAGAAUCUACACCAUAUUACAGACUGAAUUUCAACAAGCUAUUUGGGAUGAUUUCGUGACUAAGCAUGAAGCUGGAAUUAUACUGCCUCCUUGGUCAAAGUGCUGUGGACACUUUCCCUUCAUUAUUUCAGGUUUUUUUCUAUGCUGGCACUUUAUUCAAGCUCACAAAAUAACUGUACUUUGUAAACCACAAAAGAAAAUGUACGCCCUUUUAUUUCUAUUGUGUUGGGAGGAUUUGGUGGGGGGUGUUAAUGUUAACUGUUAUUGAUCAUGUUAUCAUUAUUAUUACCAACUUUAACCUAGUCUUCCAUAUCCAUAUAUUUUGCAUAUGCAAAACAACAAAAGCAAAUAGCCAUUUGAAUGUAAUUUGGGUUUCUUCCUUUGUUCUCAAUCUGGUAUGAUUCCAACUAGUUUCAACUCACCUCCUAACCCAUUGCCUGAACUUUCAUUUGCUGCUGAUUCCUAUCCUUUGGGGUUUGAUAUUGGAGAAAAAAACAUAACUAUCUUAGGAAAUGUAGAAAAAAGUAUUUAAUACUCAUUUAAAGUUUAAUUCACCCACAAGUAAAAUACACAACUAUGUACUGGGAGGAUUUGGGCAGAAAAAAAGAAGAAGAUUGGCAACAGUUGUUAGCUCAGGUGUUAAUCUUCAAAAAAAAAGAAGUGCAGGGUUAGAUUUUGCCUUUAAAGAAGAAAUUUAAUUUUAAAAACACUUUAAAACUUAUGACUAGAAAUAAACUUUCUUAACCUGAGAAAUGACAUCAACGUAAACCAAGAGCAGUCAUCAUAUUUAAUGAUAAAAUUAUGAAAUAAUCCCCAUUUAAAUCACAAACAAAACAAGAUGCCCACUAUCCUACUAUUACUGCUUCUGGUCGAUAUUCUCCUGGAGGUCUUACAAUAAUAAGGUAUGAAAGUAAAAUAAAAUAUGUAGAAAUUAGUAAAGACAAAGUUGCCUUUUCCAUACAAUGAGAUUACCUAUAGCUUAUAUUCAAGAUAAUACAGGCAAACUAUUGAAACCAAUAACAGAGUUCAGCAAAGUCAUUGGAUAAAAGUAAUUCGACUGGUUAACACAUAUUGAAUUCUCACUGUGGGUCAGGCACAUUUCUAGGUACUUUCUGUAUGUUAUUAACUAAUAAUAUUAACUAAUCUAAUAUUCACAAUAGCCCCUUGAGAAUGAUACGAUGACUAUUUCCAAAAAAAAAAACUAAUGUAUAGAAAGGUAAAAUAACUUAGUGUUAUAGGUUGAAUUGUGUUCCCCGAAAGAUAUGUUGAGGCCCUAAGCCCUGGUACCUGUGAAUACAACCUUAUUGAAAAUCAGAUCUCUGCAGAUGUAAUCAAGUUAAGAGGAGGUCGUUAGGGUGGGCCCUAAUCCAAUAUGACUGAUGCCCUUAUAAGAAGACAGAAAUUCGGACAGAGACACACACAGGGAGAAUCCCAUGUGACAACAUAGUCGGAGAUUGGAGUUAUGCAACUACAACCCAAGGAAUGCCAAGGAUUGCUGGCAGCCAUCAGGAGGUGCCAACACCUGAUUUCAGACUUUUAGCCUCUAGAACUGCAAGACAAUAAAUUUCUGUUGUUUCAAGCCACCCAGUUUAUGGUACUUUGUUAGGGCAGCCCCAGAAAACUAAUAAACUUGCCAAGGAUCACACAGCUAGUAAAAUGACAAAGAUGGGACAUAAGAUCAGCAUCCCAAAAUACUCUACAUCAGUAAAAACAAGUCAGAAAAUGUAACGCAAAAACAGAUACUAUUCACAAUUACAUACACUUCAAGGUACCUUAAAGCAAAUAUAAUACAAAAUGUUCAGGAUAAAAUUGAUUCUCAUUAUUUGUCAUAAUUAUGUUCUAUAAAGUUGCCACAAACACUCAGGUAGCAAAUACUGAGCCAUUGCUCCAAGGAGAAAUACAGGGUUAGGGUCCUGCCAGUAUCUGUGACAUUUUCACCAACUCAUCAAUAUAUAACCUUGUGUCAUGUGUGUUUCUGUUUAAAAAAAACCUCAUUUAAUAUAGAUUGCUGAUUUAUUCACACUAAACUCACAGCCAACAGCACUAUAACUCACGCCUGAACAAAGCUUAUCUAACACAAGUAUUUUCUUCUGUAAGGCACAGCACAGCCUACCUGCACUUAGGAACACUGGAUAGUCCUUCAUCACCAUGCUUGGAGGCCAUUUUAAAUAAUAAAAUCAACCAAAAAAAAGCACAAAAAUGUGAAAAACAUGGCACUAAAUGAACUGUGAAAAGGACACGUCCGUUUACAAUAUGAGAAUUGCAACAAGAAGGCAAAACCUCACCUGUUGGAACUCAGCCAGGAACAUCAAUGUAUGUCUGGCAACUCAAAUUUUUCACCACUCUACACGUGUUCAUGAGUUUCCAAAAAACCACAGUGAGUAUUGACUUGGGGGUUACAAAUAAAUUUUAGGAUGUAGGUAAAUUCACAAAUAUGCAAUCCAUGAAUUAUGAUCACCAACUGUAUUUAUGGAUAAAAUUAUAAAACCUUAUGAAAAGACAAAAAAAGACCUAAAUAAGUGGAGAUGGAAGAUGGUCAUGAAUAGAAAGACAAAAUUAUAAAGAUGUUAAUUUUACCAAAAAUUAAUUCCAUCAAAAUCCCAAAGAGUAUUUUUGAGGAACUUGAAAAACUGAUCCUAUAAUUUAAAGGGAAGAGUAAAGAACCAAGAAUCGUUGAAAUAAUUUCGAAAAAUAAGGUGUAGAGACUUAUUCUGCAAUAUAUUAGAAUUUAGAAUAAAGUUAUAUAAAUUAAGAUAGCAACAUUUUGACAUAAGGCUAGACAAAUAGAAGAGAGGAAUAGAAAAAAGAGACCAGAAUUGACCCACACAUAUAUAGAAAUGUUCUUACGUCUGAGAUGGAGUUACAAAUCAGAGGAGAAAGAUUAACUCUUCAGAAAACAUAGUUAAGAACAGUAAGUUGUCCAGGUAGAAAAAAAAGAUAGAUCCCUACUUCACAUCAUAUCAAAAAUAAAUUGAGAGACAGUGUCAAGAUGGUGGCAUAGGCAGACUCUGCCUCCUCCUAUGGACAUAACAAAUUUACCGCUACACUUGGAACAAUUACCCAUAAGAGAUAAUGAAAACUAGAUAAAAAGAAUCCCCACAACAAGGGAGAGUGCUGACUGAGGUGGAAGAGGCAGAAAUUUGGGGGCCAGCCCGGUGGCACAGCGGUUAUGUUCGCAUGUUCCACUUCGGCAGCCUGGGGUUUGCCAGUUCAGAUCCUGGGUGCGGACAUGACACUGCUUGGCAGGCCAUGCUGUGGUAGCUGUCCCACAUAUAAAAAGUGGAGGAAGAGAGGCAUGGAUGUUGGCUCAGGGCCAGUCUUCCUCAGCAAAAAGAGGAGGAUUGGCGGCAGAUGUUAGCUCAGGGCCAAUCUUCCCUGGGAAAAAAAAAUUCUUUAUUAAAAAAAAAGAAAUUCCUUUCUGGAGAGAAAAAAGUCACCUUCAAGCUGCAGUGCCUCACAGCCGGCUGGGAGCAAUCAUAAGAUAGGAAGCCUUCCCUGGAGGAGUGGGAGAUCUGAGCUGGGGAGAGUUACCACAAUAAGCAGCUUUUGGACUCAGCACAACUGAGAUGAGUGUCAUAAUAUCUGGUUUUGCUGACUACUAACUACAAUGGGGAAUACUCCCAGAAAAGCUAUAGACAUAAGCAAGAAAAAAGCCUGCUCUUAAAGGGCCCACACACAAAUUCACCCAUUUCAGAAAGCAUCCUAAAAUCACUAGAAAGAAAGGUACACAGUCCGUUAGUGGAAAGAGGCUCAUUUGAUAGGCUCUAUGCAUUUCAGUGAGAGGUGAGAUCUCUCCAGGGACUAAGACAUUGGUGGCAGACAUUAUUGUAAUUUAGUACAGGCGUACUGACACAGAUGCCAGCAGAUAACAUUGGAGUUCUUCCCCUGUCCUGUUAUCCCAGGGGUUCUGCCCACCCACUAGAUCACUGGUUUAAUCCAGCUCAGCAAGGGCAGACAGCCCCACCUAGGGAUUGGCCCCACUCAACAGCAAGCCCUCAGGCAACUUUUGAGCCAGCAUAGGUGAGGUGCCUGGACCCUCGGCAGCUGGGUGAGCAGGUCUGCCUCGUAGGGAAGGGCAUGCAUGAGGAGCAGGCUUGCAUUGGUGGAGUGUGUAGAGCCUCUACAGUGGGGUGACUGGGUCCGCUUCAGUGGGUUGGAGCAUGCGCACAGGGCAGGACUGUGUCAACAGGGUGUGUGGCCCUGUGGGUGGUGGAGCUUGUCAGGUGCAGCAGACUUGUGCUUCUCAAACAGCCACGUAGAGGAUUGGCCCCACCUUCCAAAGUCUGAAACAAUUGGGUGCUCCCAUUCCUGGGGCCAGCCUCCCUCAGCUGCAAUCUUGAGAGAGCUGACAACAGCCUUGCAGGUAGAGGCCUACAACAAGUGUAAGACACUGAGACUAGCAACCAGCAAUGCUGGGGGCCUAUUCACUUAACAUAAAAACUGAAACAGGAAGGUGCUUUUAGACCUUGCAGCCAACUGUACUGGGGGGUCCCCACACUUGAUAAAGUGAUUGAAGGAUCCAUAGCAGCCACACACAGCUGAGCAUUACAACCAGCUGGCGAGGGGGACAACUUAGCCUCCACAGGCACCUGCAGCAAGAGCAACCCUGCCACAACAGAAGAACACAUGUAGCCCACACUGGGGACACUCCUGGAACAUUUGGAACUGGUGACGAGAAGGAAGCACACUGCUGAGCCUCACAAAGCAUCUCCUACAUAAGGCCACCUCUCCAAGAUUAGUAUACGUAGCUGACCUACCUAAUACAUACAUGUAAGCAUAGGGAAAGACUCAAAAUGAGGAGACAAAGGAACAAGACAAAACCCCAGAAAAGGAACUAAAUAAAACAGAGAUCAGAAAUCUACCUGACAAAGAGUACAAACUAGAAGUCAUAAGGAUGCUCACUCAUCUUGGUAGAACAAUGGAUGAACUCAAUGAGAACUUCAACAAAGAAUUGGAAAAUAUAAAAAAAAGAACCAAUCAGAAAUGAAGAAUAUAAUAUUGGAAAUGAAAAAUUUACUAGAGGGAAUCAAAGGCAGAGUAGACGACACAGAAGAACAGAUCAGUGAGCUGGAAAAAAGAAGAAAGGAAAGAGAAGGCUCAAAUGAAUAAAAUCAGAAAUGAAAGAGGAAACAUUACAACAGACACCUCAAAAAUACAAAAGGUUAUAAAAGAAUACUAUGAAAAGCUAGACACCAACAAACUGGAUAAUCUAGAAGAAAUGGAUAACUUCUUAGAAUCAUAAAACCUUCCAAAACAGAAUCAAGAAGAAAUAGAGAAUUUGAAUAGAACAAUCACCAGUAAAGAGAUUGAACAGUAUUCAAAAACCUCCCAAAAAAUAAAUGUCCAGGACCAGAUGGCUUCCCUGGUGAAUUCUAUCAAACAUUCAAAGAAGCCUUAAUACCUGUCCUUCUCAAACUCUUUCAAAAAAUUGAAGAGGAGGGAAAGCUUCCUAAUUCAUUCUACAAAGCCAAUAUUACCCUGAUAACAAAACCAGAUAAGGACAUCACAAAGAAAAACCAAAAUUACAGGCCAAUAUCACUGAUGAACAUAGAUGUAAAAAUCCUCAACAAAAUACUAGUAAAUUGAAUAAACAAUAUAUUAAAAAGAUCAUACACCAUGAUCAAGUGAGAUUUACUCCAGGAAUGCAGGCAUGAUUCAAUAUCCACAAAUCAAUCAACAUGAUGCACCACCUUAACAAAAUGAAAAGUAAAGACCACAUGAUCAUCUCAAUAGAUGCAGAGAAAGCCUUUGACAAGAUACAACACCCAUUUAUGAUAAAAACUUUGAAUAAAAUGAGUAUAGAAGGAAAGUACCUCAACAUAAUAAAGUCCAUAUAUUACAAACCCACAGCUAAUAUCAUACUCAAUGGAGAAAAACUGAAAGCUAUCCCUCUAAGAACAAGAACGAGACAAGGAUGCCUGUCCUGCCACUCUUAUUUAACAUAGUAUUGGAAGUCCUGCCAGAGCAAUCAGGCAAGAAAAAGAAAUAAAAGGGAUCCAAAUUUGAAAGGAAGAAAUGAAACUGUCACUAUUUGCAUACAACAUGAUUUUAUAUAUAGAAAACCCUAAAGAAUCCACCAAAAAACCUUUAGAAAUAAUAAAUGAAUACAAUAAAGUUGCAGGAUACAAACUCAACAUACAAAAAUCAGCUGCAUUUCUAUACACCAGUAACAAAGUAGCAGAAAGAGAAAUUAAGAAUACAAUCCUAUUAUUAAUUACCAAAAAGAAUGAAAUACUCAGGAAUAAAUUUAACCAAAGAGAUGAAAGUUCUAAUCACUGAAAACUAUAAAGCAUUGUUGAAAGAAAUUGAAAAAGACACAAAGAAGUAGGAAGAUAUUCCAUGCUCUUGGACUAGAAGAAUGAACAAAGUUAAAAUGUCCAUGCUUCCUAAAGCAAUCUACAGAUUCAAUGCAAUCCCUGUCAAAGCUCCAAUGACAUUUUUCACAGAAAUAGAACAAAGAAUCCUAAAAUGUAUAUGGAACAACAAAAGACUCCCAAUAGCCAAAGGAAUCCUGAGAAAAAAGAACAAAGCUAGAGGUAUCAUACUUCCACAAAAACAGACACACAGAUCAAUGGAACAGAAUCGAGAGCCCAGAAAUAAACCCACACAUCUACAGACAGCUAAUUUUUGACAAGGGAGCCAAGAACAUAUAACGGAGAAAGAAAAGUCUAUUCAAUAAACGGUGUUGGGAAAACUGGACAGCCACAAGCAAAAGAAUGAAAGUAGACCAUUAUCUUACACCAUACCCAAAAAUUAACUCAAAAUGGAUUAAAGACUUGAAUGUAAAACCUGAAACCAUGAAACUUCUAGAAGAAACCAUAGGCAGUACUCUCUUCAACAUCAAUCUUAGCAGCAUAUCCUCAAGUACCAUGUCUGACUGGGCAAGCAAAACAACAGAAAAAAUAAACAAAUGGGAUACAUCAAACUAAAAAGCUUCUGCACAGCAAAGGAAACAAUCAACAAAAUGAAAAGACAACCUAACAAUUGGGAGAAGAUAUUUGUAAAGCACAUAUCUGAUAAGGGUGUAAUAUACAAAAUAUGUAAAGAACUCAUUACAUCUCAACAACAAAAAAAGUAACAACCCAAUUAAAAAAUGGGCAAAAGAUCAGAACAGACAUUUCUCCAAAGAAGAUAUACAGAUAACGAACAGGCAACGUGAAAAGAUGUUCAACAUCAUUAAUUAUCAGGGAAAUGCAAAUCAAAACUACAAUAAGAUAUCACCUUACUCCUGUCAGAAUGACUAUCAUUAACAAGACAGGAAAUAAGUGUUGGAGGGGAUGUGGAAAAAAGGGAACUCUCAUACACUGCUGGUGGGAAUGCAAACUGGUGCAGCCAUUAUGGAAAACAGCAUGGAGAUUCCUCAAAAAAUUAAGAAUAGAACUAUCUUAUGAUCCAGCUAUUCCACUGCUGGGCAUUUAUCCAAAGAACACAAAAACAUGAAUGCACAAAGAUAUAUGCACCCCUAUGUUCAUCGCAGCAUUAUUCAUAAUAGCCAAGACUUGGAAGCAACCUAGGUGCCCAUCCAGGGAUAAAUGGAUAAAGAAGAUGUGGUAUAUAUACACAAUGGAAUACUACUCAGCCAUAAGAAACAAUGAAAUCUGGCCAUUCGUAACAACAUGGAUGGACUUUCAGGGUAUUAUGCUAAGCGAAAAAUGUCAGAGGAAGGAAGUCAAAUACCGUAUGAUCUCCUUCACAUAUAGAAGAUAAAAACAACAACAAACAAACACAUAGAGACAGAGAUUGGAUUGGUGGUUACCAGAGGGGAAUGGGGGAGAGAGGAGGGUGAAAGGAGUGAUUAGGCACAUGUGUGUGGUGAUGGAUUGUAAUUAGUCUUCAGGUGGUGAACAUGAUGUAAUCUACACAGAAAUUGAAAUAUAAUGAUGCAUACCUGAAAUUUAUAUAUUGUUAUAAAGCAAUGUUACCACAAUAAAAAAAAAUUUUAGUAAAUUGAAAUGAAAAUGACAGACCCAAAUAUAAAAAGUAAAUGUUUAAAACAUUUAGGAAAAUAGAGGAGAUACUUAGAGAUUUCCAGGUAGGAAUAGAUCCAUUUAGUAGGACAGAAAAAAAACACAAACCAUAAAGAAGAUUAAUAAGUUAGACAUUAAAUUUUUAGAAGUUCUGUCCAAUAAAAGACACCAUAAAAAGUUAAAAUGCAAUCUACAGGGCUGGGAGAAAGUAUUUUCGACACACAUAAUUAACAAAAACUUAAUAUGCAAGAUCUGUAUAUAAAUCCUUAAAAUGAAUAGGAAAAAGACAAAAAUUGAUUAGAGAAAUAGAAAAAGGAUAUGAAUGUACAAAAGAUACUCAACAGCAUUAGUAAUCAGAGCAAUUCAAAACUCAAUAAACUGCAUUUCAUACUUAUUUGAUGAGCAAAAAUUAAAAAGUCUGAUAAUCCCACAUUUUGGUAAGGAUAUGAAGGAAUGAGAACUUUCAACACCGCUGAUGGAAAUUGAAUUGACAGAAACACAUUUAAAAAGAGCAAUUCGGCAAUAUCUGCCGAAGUUGAAGCUGUGUGUAUCCUUAUACUCUGUAAUUCAUCUUCCAGGUAUAGCACCUAGGAAAACUUUACAUGUGCGUGAGAAGACAUGUACAAGAAUGCGCGUUGCACCAUGUUUUGUAACAGCAAAACUCUGCAUAUUACCUAAAUAUCCAUCAACAGUAGGUUUGACUAAUUAUAGUUAUAGCUAUACAACAAAAUGUCAUAUAGGAGCUAAAAUGGAUAUAUCCAAAAGAAAGAUGCAGCAAAAUAUAUACGAAUUUCAUUUAUAUAAAGUUUAAAACAAAACAAUAUCAUAUACUAUUUAUUCAUAUAUGUGUGUCAUAAUAGUACAAAACAUUCAUGAGAAUAAUGAACAACCAUUUUAGGAUAGUAGAUUUUUCUGGGGGAGGGAACAGUAUUGAAUAGGGCUAGUCAAUUGUAUGUACAAUUUAUUAUUAUUUUUUAAUCCAUAGCAAAGACAGUAACCUUUUAAGAGUUAAUACAAGAGAGAUUGGG